RNAcentral lists this ribosomal RNA (475 nucleotides) under uncultured Magnetococcus sp. RNAcentral describes it as "bacterial SSU rRNA". It matches the Rfam family "Bacterial small subunit ribosomal RNA", at positions 79 to 587 of the family's 1533-position model. Lineage: Bacteria; Pseudomonadati; Pseudomonadota; Magnetococcia; Magnetococcales; Magnetococcaceae. The record is from RNAcentral.
UUCGGUCCGCUGACGAGUGGCGAACGGGUGUGUAACGCGUGGAUACCUGCCCCGAGGUGGGGGAUAACAACUGGAAACAGUUGCUAAUACCGCACGCUCUCCAAGGAGGAAAGGCUUCGGCCGCCUUGGGAGGGGUCCGCGUCGGAUUAGCUUGUUGGUGAGGUAACGGCUCACCAAGGCGACGAUCCGUAGCUGGUCUGAGAGGAUGAUCAGCCACACUGGGACUGAGACACGGCCCAGACUCCUACGGGAGGCAGCAGUGGGGAAUAUUGCGCAAUGGGGGAAACCCUGACGCAGCAAUACCGCGUGAGUGAUGAAGGCCUUCGGGUUGUAAGGCUCUUUUAGUAGGGACGAUAGUGACGGUACCUACAGAAAAAACUCCGGCUAACUCCGUGCCAGCAGCCGCGGUAAUACGGAGGGAGUGAGCGUUGUUCGGAAUUACUGGGCGUAAAGGGCGCGUAGGCGGUCUUGCAAG